Non-coding RNA from Macaca mulatta (Rhesus monkey), 585 nucleotides. Lineage: Eukaryota; Metazoa; Chordata; Mammalia; Primates; Cercopithecidae. The record is from RefSeq and is a predicted model, not a curated record.
CUCCUAAUGCAACUUAUAACUUGGAUGGAACUGUUACUCCCAGGAAAUUCUGAGAAUCUCAUGACUCAGAACUGGAAUGAAGACACAACAAUGGAGGGGAUAUCCCCACAUACUCACCUGUUUUAUUCAUCUGCUCAGGCUGCCAUAACAAAUUACCGCAGACGGGGUGGCUUAAAUGAAGAAAUUAAUUUUUCCAAAGUUGCAGAGUUUGGAAGCCCAAGGUCAAAGUGCCAGCAGGGUUGGUUGCCAGUGAGACCUCCUUCCUCAGCCUGCAGAGGGGACCUACUUGCUACUCCUUACAUGGCCAUUCCUCUAUGUGUGCACAGGUCCAGCAAUCUUUUAAAGAAAUAAGAGUUAUUCCCUAGGACUAGAGAGGGAACAUCAAAGACUCCCUUUGGAAUCAAUUAAUGCCUGCAAAUAAUAUUUAUCUAAAAUCUCAUUCAAGGAUGUAUGAUUGGUAAAUAGUUAAAUUCAAUGAGGACUAAUAACACAACUCUGUGAACAGAGUGUUUGUGUUUGUUUGGUUUUUAACAUUAUUACAAUAUCACUAAGCAUUUGGCAAAUAAAUUAAAAUGGUAUUAUUAA